GAACCAACAGGGAUUGCCCCAGUAACGGCGAGUGAAGCGGCAAGAGCUCAAAUUUGAAAUCUGGCCCCGUCGGGGUCCGAGUUGUAAUUUGCAGAGGAUGCUUCGGGUGCGGCCCCCGUCUAAGUGCCCUGGAACGGGCCGCCGGAGAGGGUGAGAGUCCCGUCUGGGACGGGUGGCCGCGUCCGUGUGAAGCUCCUUCGACGAGUCGAGUUGUUUGGGAAUGCAGCUCUAAAUGGGUGGUAAAUUUCAUCUAAAGCUAAAUAUUGGCCGGAGACCGAUAGCGCACAAGUAGAGUGAUCGAAAGAUGAAAAGCACUUUGAAAAGAGAGUUAAAUAGCACGUGAAAUUGUUGAAAGGGAAGCGCUUGCGACCAGACUCGCCCGCGGGGGUUCAGCCGGCACUCGUGCCGGUGCACUCCCCCGCGGGCGGGCCAGCGUCGGUUUGGGCGGUCGGUCAAAGGCCCCCGGAAUGUGUCGCCCCUCGGGGCGUCUUAUAGCCGGGGGUGCAAUGCGGCCAGCCCGGACCGAGGACCGCGCUUCGGCAUGGACGCUGGCGUAAUGGUCGUAAGCGACCCGUCUUGAAACACGGACCAAGGAGUCUAACAUCUACGCGAGUGUUCGGGUGUUAAACCCGUCCGCGCAGUGAAAGCGAACGGAGGUGGGAACCCCUCGCGGGUGCACCAUCGACCGAUCCUGAUGUCUUCGGAUGGAUUUGAGUAAGAGCGUAGCUGUUGGGACCCGAAAGAUGGUGAACUAUGCCUGAAUAGGGCGAAGCCAGAGGAAACUCUGGUGGAGGCUCGCAGCGGUUCUGACGUGCAAAUCGAUCGUCAAAUUUGGGUAUAGGGGCGAAAGACUAAUCGAACCAUCUAGUAGCUGGUUCCUGCCGA
RNAcentral lists this unclassified non-coding RNA (885 nucleotides) under Thermoascus aurantiacus. RNAcentral's name for it is "sequence contains 28S rRNA gene". It matches the Rfam family "Eukaryotic large subunit ribosomal RNA", at positions 56 to 964 of the family's 3401-position model. The record is from RNAcentral. Lineage: Eukaryota; Fungi; Ascomycota; Eurotiomycetes; Eurotiales; Thermoascaceae.